UACAGAGGGUGCGAACGUUGCUCGGAAUUACUGGGCGUAAAGCGCGUGUAGGCGGAUCGGCAAGUCAGGCGUGAAAUCCCCAGGCUCAACCUGGGAACUGCGCUUGAAACUGCCGGUCUUGAGUGUCGGAGAGGGUGGCGGAAUUCCUGGUGUAGAGGUGAAAUUCGUAGAUAUCAGGAGGAACACCGGUGGCGAAGGCGGCCACCUGGACGACAACUGACGCUGAGACGCGAAAGCGUGGGGAGCAAACAGGAUUAGAUACCCUGGUAGUCCACGCCGUAAACGAUGGGUGCUAGGUGUCUCGGGUAUUGACCCCUGAGGUGCCGUAGCUAACGCGUUAAGCACCCCGCCUGGGAAGUACGGCCGCAAGGCUAAA
RNAcentral lists this ribosomal RNA (376 nucleotides) under uncultured bacterium. RNAcentral's name for it is "bacterial SSU rRNA". It matches the Rfam family "Bacterial small subunit ribosomal RNA", at positions 524 to 898 of the family's 1533-position model. The record is from RNAcentral.